RNAcentral lists this ribosomal RNA (1031 nucleotides) under Guptibacillus hwajinpoensis. RNAcentral's name for it is "bacterial SSU rRNA". It matches the Rfam family "Bacterial small subunit ribosomal RNA", at positions 56 to 1066 of the family's 1533-position model. Lineage: Bacteria; Bacillati; Bacillota; Bacilli; Caryophanales; Guptibacillaceae. The record is from RNAcentral.
UGCAAGUCGAGCGAAGAGAUGGGAGCUUGCUCCCUGAUCUUAGCGGCGGACGGGUGAGUAACACGUGGGCAACCUGCCCUGCAGACUGGGAUAACUCCGGGAAACCGGAGCUAAUACCGGGUAAUACAUCGCACCGCAUGGUGCAAUGUUGAAAGUUGGCUUUCGAGCUAACACUGCAGGAUGGGCCCGCGGCGCAUUAGCUAGUUGGUAAGGUAAUGGCUUACCAAGGCGACGAUGCGUAGCCGACCUGAGAGGGUGAUCGGCCACACUGGGACUGAGACACGGCCCAGACUCCUACGGGAGGCAGCAGUAGGGAAUCUUCCGCAAUGGACGAAAGUCUGACGGAGCAACGCCGCGUGAGUGACGAAGGCCUUCGGGUCGUAAAGCUCUGUUGUUAGGGAAGAACAAGUACCGUUCGAAUAGGGCGGUACCUUGACGGUACCUAACCAGAAAGCCACGGCUAACUACGUGCCAGCAGCCGCGGUAAUACGUAGGUGGCAAGCGUUGUCCGGAAUUAUUGGGCGUAAAGCGCGCGCAGGCGGUCUUUUAAGUCUGAUGUGAAAGCCCACGGCUCAACCGUGGAGGGUCAUUGGAAACUGGAGGACUUGAGUGCAGAAGAGGAGAGUGGAAUUCCACGUGUAGCGGUGAAAUGCGUAGAUAUGUGGAGGAACACCAGUGGCGAAGGCGGCUCUCUGGUCUGUAACUGACGCUGAGGCGCGAAAGCGUGGGGAGCAAACAGGAUUAGAUACCCUGGUAGUCCACGCCGUAAACGAUGAGUGCUAGGUGUUGGGGGGUUCCACCCUCAGUGCUGAAGUUAACACAUUAAGCACUCCGCCUGGGGAGUACGACCGCAAGGUUGAAACUCAAAGGAAUUGACGGGGGCCCGCACAAGCAGUGGAGCAUGUGGUUUAAUUCGAAGCAACGCGAAGAACCUUACCAGGUCUUGACAUCCUCUGACAAUCCUGGAGACAGGACGUUCCCCUUCGGGGGACAGAGUGACAGGUGGUGCAUGGUUGUCGUCAGCUCGUGUC